AGAGUUUGAUCCUGGCUCAGAACGAACGCUGGCGGCGUGGAUUAGGCAUGCAAGUCGAACGAGAACCUUAGGAUUCAAUUCUUCGGAAAAGAUUCCUUUGGAGAGAGUGGCGAAAGGGUGAGUAACCCGUGGGCAAUUUGCCCUUAAGUUGGGGAUAGCCACUGGAAACGGUGGAUAAUACCGAAUGUGGUCGUACAUCGCAUGAUGUACUGUCUAAAGACGGGGAUCUUCGGACCUGUCGCUUGAGGAUGAGCCCGCGUCCCAUCAGCUUGUUGGUAGGGUAACGGCCUACCAAGGCUUACGGGUAGCUGGUCUGAGAGGAUGGUCAGCCACACUGGGACUGAGACACUGCCCAGACUCCUACGGGAGGCUGCAGUCGAGAAUCAUUCGCAAUGCGCGAAAGCGUGACGAUGCGACGCCGCGUGUAGGAUGACGGCCUUCGGGUUGUAAACUACUGUCAUGGGGGAACAACCGCCUGAGUGUCAAUAGCACUUAGGCCUGAUGGUACCCCAAGAGGAAGCCACGGCUAACUCUGUGCCAGCAGCCGCGGUAAUACAGAGGUGGCGAGCGUUGUUCGGAUUUACUGGGCGUAAAGGGUGCGUAGGCGGUUUUGUGUGUCGGAUGUGAAAUCUCACUUUUCAUGGGUGAAACUGCAUUCGAAACUGCAGAGCUAGAGUACGGGAGAGGAGAGCAGAAUUCUUGGUGUAGCGGUGAAAUGCGUAGAUAUCAAGAGGAACACCGGUGGCGAAGGCGGCUCUCUGGAACGAUACUGACGCUGAGGCACGAAAGCUGGGGGAGCAAACAGGAUUAGAUACCCUGGUAGUCCCAGCCGUAAACGGUGUGCACUUGGUGUAGAUCGGUUUGUCCCGAUCUGUGCCGGAGCUAACGCGUUAAGUGCACCGCCUGGGGAGUACGGUCGCAAGGCUAAAACUCAAAGGAAUUGACGGGGGCCCGCACAAGCGGUGGAGCAUGUGGCUUAAUUCGAUGCAACGCGAAGAACCUUACCUGGGCUUGACAUGGAGACCCUUCGGGGGUGUAGGUGAAAACCUCUUUACUCACACAGGUGCUGCAUGGCUGUCGUCAGCUCGUGCCGUGAGGUGUUGGGUUAAGUCCCGCAACGAGCGCAACCCUUGUGAUUAGUUGCUAGUGUUUCAGAAAUGGAACAAGCACUCUAAUCAGACUGCCUGUGAUAAGCAGGAGGAAGGUGGGGAUGACGUCAAGUCAGUAUGGUCCUUAUGCCCAGGGCUGCACACGUGCUACAAUGGGCGGUACAGAGGGACGCAAGACCGCGAGGUGGAGCAAAUCCCCAAAACCGUCCUAAGUUCGGAUCGAAGUCUGCAACUCGACUUCGUGAAGUUGGAAUCUAGUAAAGGCGUAUCAGCUACGACGCCUUGAAUACGUUCCCGGGCCUUGUACACACCGCCCGUCACAUCACGAAAGCCGAUUGCACCCGAAGUCGCUGAUCUAACCCGCAAGGGAAGAAGGUGCCGAAGGUGUGAUUGGUGAUUGGGAUGAAGUCGGAACAAGGUA
This 1530-nucleotide ribosomal RNA is filed under the name metagenome. RNAcentral's name for it is "bacterial SSU rRNA". It matches the Rfam family "Bacterial small subunit ribosomal RNA". The record is from RNAcentral.